UAGAGCUGGGCCCUGGCGGGCUGCCACGGGGGUGUCUGGCAGUCUCUCCUGGGUCUAGGGCUGUUCCUCUGAGGUCACGAGGUGGUCCUUCGGGUGUGUCUGGGGUAAGCCCCUCUAGAAUCUGGGGGCGGCCUCCCGGGGGCCAUACUGCAUCACGUAGUGGAGUUGGGAAGAUAAAACCAGCACGUGUAAUGUAAUACAUGACAAUGGAAGAUUCUACGUAAUUAAGGGUUAACUCUGAAAUCAGAAGACAAGUUUUCCAAGACUUGGGAAGGUGGAGAGAUCAGAGAUCAGUGAGAGAACAAAGAAUCGGAAUGUAUUAAUGGUAUGAUCUUCCGAGACAGGCCCCCCGCCACUGUUGGCACACAGGACACCCACCCAGCCUAUGGUCCUGUCUGUGGUUGGACAACAUAAUCAGAAUAACAGGGUCCAGAUGUCAGGGAUGGAAGUUGGAGAAAGAUGAGGCAGCAGCAGACACUUUCUCCUGUUGGCCUUAAAGAAGCAACCGCCUGUGCUGGGAGAGGGUCACUGGGCUGAGAUUGGUAGGUGGCUCUGGGAGCUGAGGGCCUAAACCUAUGACCACAAGGAACUGAAUUCAUCCCAAAGCCAGAGAGGUGGAAGACGACUCAGAAGAUGCAGAUGCCAAUGCCACAUCCUG
This 658-nucleotide long non-coding RNA is filed under the name Homo sapiens (human). RNAcentral describes it as "HSALNT0248157". The record is from RNAcentral. Lineage: Eukaryota; Metazoa; Chordata; Mammalia; Primates; Hominidae.